UCUGGCGGCGUGCCUAUAAUGCAAGUCGAGCGAACAGACGAGGAGCUUGCUCCUCUGACGUUAGCGGCGGACGGGUGAGUAACACGUGGAUAACCUACCUAUAAGACUGGGAUAACUUCGGGAAACCGGAGCUAAUACCGGAUAAUAUAUUGAACCGCAUGGUUCAAUAGUGAAAGACGGUUUUGCUGUCACUUAUAGAUGGAUCCGCGCCGCAUUAGCUAGUUGGUAAGGUAACGGCUUACCAAGGCAACGAUGCGUAGCCGACCUGAGAGGGUGAUCGGCCACACUGGAACUGAGACACGGUCCAGACUCCUACGGGAGGCAGCAGUAGGGAAUCUUCCGCAAUGGGCGAAAGCCUGACGGAGCAACGCCGCGUGAGUGAUGAAGGUCUUCGGAUCGUAAAACUCUGUUAUUAGGGAAGAACAAAUGUGUAAGUAACUAUGCACGUCUUGACGGUACCUAAUCAGAAAGCCACGGCUAACUACGUGCCAGCAGCCGCGGUAAUACGUAGGUGGCAAGCGUUAUCCGGAAUUAUUGGGCGUAAAGCGCGCGUAGGCGGUUUUUUAAGUCUGAUGUGAAAGCCCACGGCUCAACCGUGGAGGGUCAUUGGAAACUGGAAAACUUGAGUGCAGAAGAGGAAAGUGGAAUUCCAUGUGUAGCGGUGAAAUGCGCAGAGAUAUGGAGGAACACCAGUGGCGAAGGCGACUUUCUGGUCUGUAACUGACGCUGAUGUGCGAAAGCGUGGGGAUCAAACAGGAUUAGAUACCCUGGUAGUCCACGCCGUAAACGAUGAGUGCUAAGUGUUAGGGGGUUUCCGCCCCUUAGUGCUGCAGCUAACGCAUUAAGCACUCCGCCUGGGGAGUACGACCGCAAGGUUGAAACUCAAAGGAAUUGACGGGGACCCGCACAAGCGGCUACGCAUCGUU
This 926-nucleotide ribosomal RNA is filed under the name Staphylococcus epidermidis. RNAcentral's name for it is "bacterial SSU rRNA". It matches the Rfam family "Bacterial small subunit ribosomal RNA", at positions 35 to 946 of the family's 1533-position model. The record is from RNAcentral. Lineage: Bacteria; Bacillati; Bacillota; Bacilli; Caryophanales; Staphylococcaceae.